UACGGAAGGCAGCAGUGGGGAAGUAUUGCACAAUGGGCGAAAGCCUGAUGCAGCUAUGCCGCGUGUAUGAAGAAGGCCUUAGGGUUGUAAAGUACUUUCAUCGGGGAGGAAAAAACAAAACUAAUAAUUUUAUUUCUUGACGUUACCCGAAAAAGAAGCACCGGCUAACUCCGUGCCAGCAGCCGCGGUAAUACGGAGGGUGCUAGCGUUAAUCAGAAUUACUGGGCGUAAAGAGCACGUAGGUGGUUUUUUUAAGUCAGAUGUGAAAUCCCUGGGCUUAACCUGGAACUGCAUUUUGAAACUGAAAUACUAGAGUAUCGUAGAGGGAGGUAGAAUUCUAGGUGUAGCGGUGAAAUGCGUAGAUAUCUGGAGGAAUACCUGUGGCGAAAGCGGCCUCCUAAACGAAUACUGACACUGAGGUGCGAAAGCGUGGGGAGCAAACAGGGAUUAGAUACC
RNAcentral lists this ribosomal RNA (456 nucleotides) under uncultured bacterium. RNAcentral describes it as "bacterial SSU rRNA". It matches the Rfam family "Bacterial small subunit ribosomal RNA", at positions 340 to 786 of the family's 1533-position model. The record is from RNAcentral.